UAGAAUUUGGUGUACUUGGGAGCACGAAGAGUUUUGGGUUCUUAGGAGUAGGUUCGAUCCCUAUAAUUCUAG
RNAcentral lists this transfer RNA (72 nucleotides) under Ovibos moschatus (muskox). Its description in RNAcentral is "tRNA-Gln". It matches the Rfam family "tRNA". From Rfam's summary of the family: Transfer RNA (tRNA) molecules are approximately 80 nucleotides in length. Their secondary structure includes four short double-helical elements and three loops (D, anti-codon, and T loops). Lineage: Eukaryota; Metazoa; Chordata; Mammalia; Artiodactyla; Bovidae. The record is from RNAcentral.